AACGCACAUUGCGCCCGCCAGCAUUCUGGCGGGCAUGCCUGUCCGAGCGUCAUUUCAACCCUCAGGGAGCCCCUUCGCGGGGGGGACCUGGUGUUGGGGGCCGGCCGCCCGCGCCGCCCCCGAAAUGCAGUGGCGACCUCGCCGCAGCCUCCCCUGCGUAGUAGCACAACCUCGCACCGGAGCGCGGAGACGGUCACGCCGUAAAACGCCCAACUUUCUAGAGUUGACCUCGGAUCAGGUAGGAAUACCCGCUGAACUUAA
RNAcentral lists this unclassified non-coding RNA (261 nucleotides) under uncultured fungus. RNAcentral's name for it is "partial contains 5.8S ribosomal RNA, internal transcribed spacer 2, and large subunit ribosomal RNA". Lineage: Eukaryota; Fungi. The record is from RNAcentral.